UGAGAUGGAAGAUGCCAUGGUCCUCCU
Molecule: non-coding RNA, 27 nt
Filed under: Mus musculus (house mouse)
Lineage: Eukaryota; Metazoa; Chordata; Mammalia; Rodentia; Muridae
Source: RNAcentral